UACAGAGACUGCAAGCGUUAUUCGGAUUCACUGGGCGUAAAGGGUGCGCAGGCGGCCGUGUGUGUCAGGUGUGAAAGCCCGGGGCUUAACCCCGGAAUUGCGCCUGAAACUACAUGGCUAGAGCAUUGGAGAGGGUAGCGGAAUUCACGGUGUAGCAGUGAAAUGCGUAGAUAUCUGGAGGAACACCGGUGGCGAAGGCGGCAUCCUGGACCAACACUGACACUGAGGAGCGAAAGCCAGGGGAGCAAACGGG
This 253-nucleotide ribosomal RNA is filed under the name uncultured bacterium. Its description in RNAcentral is "partial 16S ribosomal RNA". It matches the Rfam family "Bacterial small subunit ribosomal RNA", at positions 524 to 776 of the family's 1533-position model. The record is from RNAcentral.